GUGCUCGCUUUGGCAGCACAUGUACCAGAAUUGGAACGAUACAGAGAAGAUUAGCAUGGCCCUUGCUCAGGCAUGACAUGCACAUUUGUGAAGCGUUCCAUAUUUUA
Equus asinus (donkey) is the source of this 107-nucleotide small nuclear RNA. The record is from Ensembl. Lineage: Eukaryota; Metazoa; Chordata; Mammalia; Perissodactyla; Equidae.